RNAcentral lists this ribosomal RNA (1024 nucleotides) under uncultured Neonectria. RNAcentral describes it as "eukaryotic LSU rRNA". The stretch from base 429 to 1024 matches the Rfam family "Eukaryotic large subunit ribosomal RNA", at positions 1 to 624 of the family's 3401-position model. Lineage: Eukaryota; Fungi; Ascomycota; Sordariomycetes; Hypocreales; Nectriaceae. The record is from RNAcentral.
ACAUACCUAUCGUUGCCUCGGCGGUGCCCGCUCCGGCGGCCCGCCAGAGGACCCCCAAACUCUUGUUUUAUACAGUAUCUUCUGAGUAACACGAUUAAAUAAAUCAAAACUUUCAACAACGGAUCUCUUGGUUCUGGCAUCGAUGAAGAACGCAGCGAAAUGCGAUAAGCAAUGUGAAUUGCAGAAUUCAGUGAAUCAUCGAAUCUUUGAACGCACAUUGCGCCCGCCAGUAUUCUGGCGGGCAUGCCUGUUCGAGCGUCAUUUCAACCCUCAAGCCCCCGGGCUUGGUGUUGGGGAUCGGCGUGCCCUCGCGGCGCGCCGUCCCCUAAAUCUAGUGGCGGUCUCGCUGUAGCUUCCUCUGCGUAGUAGCAACACUCGCACUGGAUCGCAGCGCGGCCACGCCGUUAAACCCCCCACUUCUGAAAGGUUGACCUCGGAUCAGGUAGGAAUACCCGCUGAACUUAAGCAUAUCAAUAAGCGGAGGAAAAGAAACCACAGGGAUGCCCUAGUAACGGCGAGUGAAGCGGCAACAGCUCAAAUUUGAAAUCUGGCCCCCGGGUCCGAGUUGUAAUUUGUAGAGGAUGCUUUUGGUGCGGUACCUUCCGAGUUCCCUGGAACGGGACGCCAUAGAGAGUGAGAGCCCCGUCUGGUUGGACGCCAAUCCUUUGUAAAGCUCCUUCAACGAGUCGAGUAGUUUGGGAAUGCUGCUCUAAAUGGGAGGUAUAUGUCUUCUAAAGCUAAAUAUUGGCCAGAGACCGAUAGCGCACAAGUAGAGUGAUCGAAAGAUGAAAAGCACUUUGAAAAGAGAGUUAAAAAGUACGUGAAAUUGUUGAAAGGGAAGCGCUCAUGACCAGACUUGGGCUUGGUUGAUCAUCCAGGGUUCUCCCUGGUGCACUCUUCCAGCCCAGGCCAGCAUCAGUUCGCUGUGGGGGAUAAAGGCUUCGGGAAUGUGGCUCCCUCGGGAGUGUUAUAGCCCGUUGUGUAAUACCCUGUGGUGGACUGAGGUUCGCGCAUUCGCAAGGAU